Molecule: non-coding RNA, 964 nt
Organism: Oryctolagus cuniculus (rabbit)
Lineage: Eukaryota; Metazoa; Chordata; Mammalia; Lagomorpha; Leporidae
Source: RefSeq, a predicted model, not a curated record
UUUUCGGAAACGUAGUUACUACGGCCCUUCACCAUUCACCUACUGAAAGACAUCCUGAUUGCCUCCAGGUUUUGGCUGUAAGCCAAAAUGAAGAUACCUGUGCUGCUUUAAGCAUUUGUGGAGGAGUGCCAUCCUGUCACUGCUGCCAUAUUCUACUGAUCAGAAGAAAAUCACAGAUUCCACUCACACUCAAGGGGAGCGCAUUACACACAAGGAUAUGUGCUGGGAAUGAAAAUCUGCAGCCAGUGUGGAAUUGCUGAUUUUUUUACUUUCUACCUAACACAGCAGAACUCUACAUAAGUUAUAGGCAAAGCAAUCCUGAAUCUGAACCCCAUCUCCCUCUUAGCUGUAAAUAUACAAGUAUUGGCAUUUUCUUCAUCAUUUGUUCCAGGUGUUUUUUUCCCUUCUCUGUGCCUGUCUUCAACCAGUGUUGUCCCCAGUGGUUAAAUCUCCUAAAAUUUAAAGAAAACAGGCUGUCCCCUCUCCUUCAGCCCCCCCACACAAGAGACCUCUCAGACUCUCCACGACCUCUCCUCCUUAUCUUAUCAUUUCCACCACACUGGUUUCCUUCUUUUCAGUUUCUUCCCAUAAUUACUCCACUAGUUUUCCCACUUCUCUCCUGUUGCCUUUCACUUUCCUUCGCUUAUUCAUUCAUUCACUCACAGAUAAACAGGUUUCCCAUCAAGCUGCUGAUGCUUCUUGAAAUUUGCAUUAAGCAAACUUUAAAAAAACCAUCUUGAGCUAGGAUUUGCUCUGGAUAGAAAACAACAGGACAGUACCUGUACUCAAAGGCACUUGCCUCUUGCCUGGACAAAGAUUACUCUGGCAUGAAAAGGAUCUGUCUGAAAUUCCAAGGCAGUCAUAUUAUUUUUCCCAAUGUCUCGAUAUUGCAUAAAACCAUACAUUGAUUUUGAGUGUAAAGGUCUUUUUUUGAAGUCUAUAGAAAAACCUUCAAAGGCCAACA